RNAcentral lists this ribosomal RNA (566 nucleotides) under Saccharomycopsis fibuligera. RNAcentral's name for it is "partial large subunit ribosomal RNA". It matches the Rfam family "Eukaryotic large subunit ribosomal RNA", at positions 62 to 648 of the family's 3401-position model. Lineage: Eukaryota; Fungi; Ascomycota; Saccharomycetes; Ascoideales; Saccharomycopsidaceae. The record is from RNAcentral.
AAACCAACAGGGAUUGCCUUAGUAACGGCGAGUGAAGCGGCAAAAGCUCAAAUUUGAAAGCUAGCACCUUCGGUGUUCGCGUUGUAAUUUGAAGAUAGUUUCUUUGAGUAGUCCUUUAUCUAUGUUCCUUGGAACAGGACGUCAUAGAGGGUGAGAACCCCGUAUGAUUUUGGAUACUACUCUUUGUGGGAUUCUAUCGAAGAGUCGAGUUGUUUGGGAAUGCAGCUCUAAGUGGGUGGUAAAUUCCAUCUAAAGCUAAAUAUUGGCGAGAGACCGAUAGCGAAUAAGUACAGUGAUGGAAAGAUGAAAAGAACUCUGAAGAGAGAGUGAAAAAGUACGUGAAAUUGCUGAAAGGGAAGGGCUUGAGGUCAGACUUGGUGUUUAAUGAUUAUCAGUUCUUCUUGGACUGUGCACUCGUUUUUCACCGGGCCAAUAUCAGUUUUAGCGGUAGAGUACCCCUUGAAAUGUGGCUUCCUUCGGGGAGUGUUAUAGUCUUGGGGAGAUCUACUUGCUGGGACUGAGGACUGCGCUUCGGCAAGGAUAUUGGCGUAAUGACCUUAAGCCGC